GUGCUGGCUUGGCAGCACAUAUGCCAAGAUUGGAACCAUACAGAGAAGAUUAGCAUGGCCCCUGCGCAAGGAUGACAGGCAAAUUCGUGAAGCGUUCCAUAGUUAA
Molecule: small nuclear RNA, 106 nt
Organism: Choloepus didactylus (southern two-toed sloth)
Lineage: Eukaryota; Metazoa; Chordata; Mammalia; Pilosa; Megalonychidae
Source: RefSeq, a predicted model, not a curated record